AUGGUACACCAUCAAAAGCAAUAUAGCACUAUGGGUAUGAUAGAUGAUAAGCAGAAUGUGAAAGUGAAAGAAGAGGGUGGUGAAAAUACGAAUGCGAAAGAGAAAAAGAAACAAAGCAAAGAAGAAGGUGAUAAGAAAAAGGAGGUGAAGAAGAUGACUAAGUAUAAGGAGAAGAAAGAGAGAACGAGGGGUAAUGACAAGGAUAAUGAGAAGGAGAAGGAGGAUCAGAGGAAAAGGAAGGAAAAUGAGAAGAAGAUGAGGGCACAUAAGGAAAGAGAGAAGAAGGAGAAUGAUAAAGAGGAGGAGUUGAAGGGGCAGAAUGACACAAAAAAUUGCCCACAGUUCUUUAGGUUCCUAAUGACCAGUUCAUCUAUGGAACAAGAGACAAUUCCCGAAGACUGCCACAAAUACUUGGAAGAGUGUACAGGAACAGUUUCACUGAGAGGUCCAAGCGGAAAUUUAUGGCCCGUAGAGCUGGCUAAAAUCUCCGGGGAGCUAUGCUUUGCAUGUGGAUGGAAGGAGUUCCUCUGCGACCAUCGCAUCGUGUAUGGCUACCUGCUGGUUUUCCGUUAUGAUGGGAACUCACAGUUCUCAGUCACGGUAUUCUUGCCAUCAUCCUGCGAGGCACCGUAUGCGUUUCUAGCCCAGCCGCAGCGCAUGGGCGCCACCGCUGUGGCAGCAAAGGAUGAGAAUGGGCACACGGGCACCAAUGCAGAUGGUACUGCCCCGCAAGAAGAAGACUCUCACAUUGGCACAGGUGCAGAUGGUACUCCACAAAAUGAAGGAGAAGAAGAAGAUGCUUCAGAAGAAUAUGAAGGGAGCGACAACAUGAGUGUCGAUGCUGACGGCGCUGGUCCACAAAAGGAAGAAGAAGAUGCAUUAUCAGAGAAUCCGGAUAAUGAGGAAGAAAGUGAAUGGCGCAGCUCACCAUCGCAGCAACAGAAGGAGGAUCAAGACAAGAUCGACAAUGGUUUUGUGGUCGGGAAGAGGACUAGGUUCAGGAAGGUUGAUGAUAUCAUGACAGAAGUGGUCGGAUCCAAGAAGUCCAAGGCUAAGGAAGGGAAAAGACAUGAAGCUCAAUCUAGUGAUUCGAAGUCUGAAGGAGAAGCAUUAGGUGACAGUUUAGAAACAGAAUCGGGGCUUCGUCCACCCAGGAAGUCCAAGGCUACUCAGGAGAAAAGGCCUGAAGCUCCAUCAGGUGAUAGUUUGGCAGAAUUGGUCCAUUGUUCACCCAAGAAGUCCAAGGCUGAGGGGAAAAGGUCUACUGCUUUAGCUUCUAAAGGAGCAGCAUCAAGUGACAGAUUGAAAGAAUCAAAGCGUUGUCCACCCAGGAAGCCCAAGGCUGCGAAGGGGAAAAGGCCUCAAGGUCCAUGUGGCCAUUCGGAGUCUGAGGGAGCAGAAUCAGGUGACAGUUUGGCAGAAUUGGUCCGUCGUCCACCCAAGAAGUCCAGGGCUGAGGGGAAAGGGUCUGCUGCUUCAUCAGCUUCUAAAGGAAUGACGUCAAGUCACAGUUUGGCAGUUCAUACAGGUGUACUUGCGCCAGAAUCCGUAUGCAAGGACUUAACCAAAUUACACAAAUCUUUUGGUAAAAAAUAUAGUAUGAAGGCUCAGUUCCCGAUGUUCAAUAACAGCAAUAGUGAAAACCAACCUGGUAGAGUUAUCGUCAAGGUUCAGAGAAGGCCGGAAUUAAAGUCGCAGAGACGUCAAGUAACCCAAAGGGACAAGGAAUAUGCUAUGGACAGGGCACAGAGGUUCCAAUCCAAGAGGCCCUUCGUGAUCAAGGAAAUAAAGCACACCGAUGUCUAUGUGUCGUACUUCAUGAUCAUUCCAGAAAUGUUCGUUGAAAAUUUCCUCCCGAAGGAAAGCAGGAAGAUGACGCUGUGGGACCCACAGGCGAAGCCGUGGAAGGUGUGGUACGAGUACACCGGCGGGGAGUGUCCCCGUGCGGCGUUCAGCGCCGGGUGGGGCGCGCUCGCCAUGGAGAACUACCUGGAGAACAGGGACUUGUGUGUGUUCGAGCUCCUGGAUGAUGACUACAACAUCAAGCUGCACGUCUAUAGGGCCGUGCUGGAUAUCACCCCCUUCGCCCUGGCCCCAAAACAUCAUCAACAGGGUUGUGCAUAG
Molecule: ribosomal RNA, 2124 nt
Filed under: Triticum aestivum (bread wheat)
Lineage: Eukaryota; Viridiplantae; Streptophyta; Magnoliopsida; Poales; Poaceae
Description: partial small subunit ribosomal RNA
Source: RNAcentral